Long non-coding RNA from Mytilus californianus (California mussel), 688 nucleotides. RefSeq lists it as uncharacterized. Lineage: Eukaryota; Metazoa; Mollusca; Bivalvia; Mytilida; Mytilidae. The transcript has 2 exons. The record is from RefSeq and is a predicted model, not a curated record.
AACGUAGUCUCGAUCAUCCAGCCGCUUUAUUUUUCAAAGUAUAGCGUCUGGAUGACAAGUGAUAUAAAAAUGGUAAUUUAUGACAUUCGGAAUAGUAUCGGCUUUUUUAGCUUGUUGUUAGAGAUAAUGUCCAAGACGAAUAACCAAGAAGUUGGUUAUUGACUUCGGAAGAAAUGACAUUACGAUAAUAUUAUUGAAAAGCCCGAGUGUACCGAUUGUUGUUUAAAGCUAUUUAUAUAUUUUUGUGACGACAUACAAUUCAUGGAAAACACCAUACAGCAUGGCCGCGAAGGAAAAAAUCAGCACAUCCAACCUUGACAAGCCAAUGAUGAUUUCUGGACACAGAUUUUAAGUGUAAAAUGUGAAGAAUUAAAAAAAAUAUGUAAUAUUCAGGAUUUUCAUUGUAUCAUAAACAUGCAUCAAUUCUAUAAGAACAAGAUUCAAACUGAAAGUUUUUUUUUUUUAAUUACUGAAGCAUCAAUCAGUUUAAAUAAAUCACAGUACCAAAAAUGUUGGCUAAACAUUAUUUUGACAGCAACCAUCAAGUGAAAAAGGUACACAGACGUAUAUUGAGUAAAUAAAACAAAAAUCAAGAAACACAUUGUUGUUAGAUAUGUCAGGGAAAUUAGAUUUGUAUUAACAAAUUAAAAACCAUAUACAAUGUAAACAAUUAAACAGUUAGUUUUCA